RNAcentral lists this ribosomal RNA (1950 nucleotides) under Triticum aestivum (bread wheat). RNAcentral's name for it is "partial small subunit ribosomal RNA". Lineage: Eukaryota; Viridiplantae; Streptophyta; Magnoliopsida; Poales; Poaceae. The record is from RNAcentral.
AUGGAUGCUUAUAGUAAUCUACCAAUUGGAUCUUCCGGGAGGGACAAAACCAAUGUGCAUUAUAGAUGUUCACCUGACCAACUUCCGCCAUUUAUGAAAUGUCUUAGUGACAAGCAGAUAGGUUUUGUCAUGAAAAUUGGGUUUGAGAGCAUCUUGUCAAUGCAAGAUUUUAAGAUGGAUAAAGAUCUAACCCUAUGGCUGGUGGAUAAGUUCAAUUGUGACACCGAGAAGCUAGAAUUUGACGGAGGCAUAUCAAUUCCAGUGAGGCCCCUUGUGAAGUUUGUCCUUGUAAUUCCUUCAGGACCCAUCAAAGUUAUAGAGGGUCUCCAUGUCGACGAUGCUCUCUAUGAACACUACACUUGGGAUACGAGAGGGAAGAACGCGAAGGAAGUGGCGGAAGAAAUGUGCAGCAUAACUGAGGAGGAACCAUUCUGCAUAGCCUUUAUGAUGGCGAUAUUUGCAAUUUGGUUGCUGAUUGCCUAUUCAAAGGAAUCAAGGACUACAAAAAAAUCGGAUAGAUUGUAUGUCCAUGUGAAGGGCUGUGUGCACAUUCUGAGUGUCAUUUUUAUCGAUCUUGUGAAACACCCUACACUCAUAGUUCCAGAUGGCUUUCCACGCUUGAGUGUUGUCACUACGGAAAUGGGUUGCUUCAGAUCCAAAUGGGUAGUUGCACAUCCCUUUGGUAGCUUCCUGCCGGUACGUUGUCUAGAAGAGUCUGUCUAUGCUCCGGUGCUUAAUAACAUGCCAAAUGGUAACACUGUUGAAGGAGUAAAAUGCUCUGAUUCUGAUUCAAAUACUGAUGCUCUGGUCGAUCAGUUUGCAAUCACCGACACCGAUCAGAAUAACAACAAGCAUCCCAUUUUAGCAGAGCUUGGCAAUGCCAGAACAACCCAUAAUACAUCAAGCUCGCCCAUUGUUGACAAUCUAGUGUUUGAUACACCAGCUCAAUCAUCAGUUGCAGCGCCCAGUUCCUUGACAGAACACAUAAUUUUUCCAACAAGUGGCGAGCAAUUGCAGUCUGCUGGUCCUUCUGAUGAACCGCAUUCAGCACAAAUUAUGGACAGUGUGCAGAUUCCUCCGGAUACCACCGUGGAAAGGCGCAGGGGUUUGCUGUUGAUGAUGGAGAAGGACGAUUGGAGUGCCAAGAAGGCGCAGGUGGAGCUAUCCAGGAGUGGCCAAGUGAAGCAAGCCAGAGAAGUUACCAUAACGAUGGACAUGAGUUUGCUUAAUUGCAGCGUGUGCUCCCGCCCCAUCAAGCCCCCUGUCUUCGAGUGCAAUGCCGGGCACUUGGCUUGCUACAAAUGCCUCAUCGGGCUCCCCUAUAAACUGUGCCAGACGUGUGAGCACGGCAGUGGCUUUGGCCACGUCCGGUCAUUGGACGCCCUCAUCUCUUCCUUGACAGUCAAGUGCCACCAUGAUGGCUGCGGGAGCUACGUCCCCUACUACGAGCUUGACGACCAUCAAAGUGUGUGCUCCCAUGUGCCGUGCUUCUGCACAGAGCUUGGCUGUGGCUUCGUCGGUUCACCACAGGCGCUCCUCAGCCACUUGAUCACCAUGCACGCAAUGCCAGUGCACAAGGUCCAUUAUGGCCAAGUUCACCAGCUCCGGCUGUCGGUGCCGCGGCCGCGGUGCCUGCUCCAUGGGCAAGGGGACGACAGCGUGUUCCUCUUGGUCAUGGGCGUGCUCGGCGUCGUGUCUGUGGUGUGCAUCAGAGCUGAGGCAUCCUCAUGGCCGCAGUACGCUAUCAAGCUUCAGGCGAAUGGUCCGCCACCACCGAGCAGCGUAGAAGGCAGCAUUUUGUUGGCCAUGAAGCCAGUGACGAGCAGCACGAGGCCUGGGGAGGUGACCGUGGAGGAGCUGCCGUCUUUCUUGAUGGUGCCACCUACUUAUCUGGUUGGUUCUGGGGCAUCCAAGGAGGUGUCUCUUGACGUUUGCAUUGACAAGAUGUGA